UCGACCGGGGCGACAGCAAUAUGAAGGUCAGGCUGAAGACCUUACCCGAUUAGCUGAGAGGUGGUGCAUGGCCGUCGUCAGUUCGUACUGUGAAGCAUCCUGUUAAGUCAGGCAACGAGCGAGACCCACGUCCACAGUUGCCAGCAUACCCUCCGGGGUGAUGGGUACACUGUGGAGACCGCCGCUGCUAAAGCGGAGGAAGGAGUGGGCAACGGUAGGUCAGUAUGCCCCGAAUCUCCCGGGCUACACGCGGGCUACAAUGGUUGGUACAAUGGGCAUCUACCCCGAAAGGGGAAGGAAAUCUCUUAAAGCCAAUCGUAGUUCGGAUUGAGGGCUGCAACUCGCCCUCAUGAAGCUGGAAUCCGUAGUAAUCGCGUUUCGACAGAACGCGGUGAAUACGUCCCUGCUCCUU
Molecule: ribosomal RNA, 412 nt
Filed under: uncultured Methanosaeta sp.
Lineage: Archaea; Methanobacteriati; Methanobacteriota; Methanomicrobia; Methanotrichales; Methanotrichaceae
Description: bacterial SSU rRNA
Rfam family: Archaeal small subunit ribosomal RNA
Source: RNAcentral